This 253-nucleotide ribosomal RNA is filed under the name uncultured bacterium. RNAcentral's name for it is "partial 16S ribosomal RNA". It matches the Rfam family "Bacterial small subunit ribosomal RNA", at positions 524 to 776 of the family's 1533-position model. The record is from RNAcentral.
UACGAAGGGUGCAAACGUUGCUCGGAAUUAUUGGGCGUAAAGCGCACGUAGGCGGCUUAGCAAGUCGGAAGUGAAAUCCCACGGCUCAACCAUGGAAGUGCUUUCGAAACUGCUGAGCUUGAGUACAAAAGAGGAUCGCGGAAUUCCCGGUGUAGAGGUGAAAUUCGUAGAUAUUAGGAAGAACACCGGUGGCGAAGGCGGCCCACUGGCUCGAUACUGACGCUGAGGUGCGAAAGCGUGGGGAGCAAACAGG